This 241-nucleotide unclassified non-coding RNA is filed under the name plant metagenome. RNAcentral's name for it is "partial contains small subunit ribosomal RNA, internal transcribed spacer 1, and 5.8S ribosomal RNA". The record is from RNAcentral.
UUUCCGUAGGUGAACCUGCGGAAGGAUCAUUAAAGAGUAAGGGUCUUCGGGCCCGAUCUCCAACCCUUUGUUUAAUUACCAUGUUGCUUUGGCGGGCCCGUCUCACGACCGCCGGAAGUUUGGCUUCGACCAAACUUCUGGCCCGUGCCCGUCAGUGGCCCCUUCAAAUUCUUGAUCAAGUAUGAUGUCUUAGUUAAAAACUUAAUAGUUAAAACUUUCAACAACGGAUCUCUUGGUUCUG